This 1426-nucleotide long non-coding RNA is filed under the name Marmota monax (woodchuck). Lineage: Eukaryota; Metazoa; Chordata; Mammalia; Rodentia; Sciuridae. The record is from RNAcentral.
UUUCAAUUCUAGUUCUACACUGUGUAAGUCUAGGGUCUCAGGACAGUUUCCCAUCCUAAAACAAAUAGCUUCAAGUUAAUUCUUUCAUGGAGUUUCAGGAUAUAUUCUAUAGCCUGGUUUCUGGACUGAAGAUUCUUUAUCUUCUAGGACCCUUUAAAGAACAGCGAAUACUCCUAGGAAUGGUACAAUCACCAAGUCCCUUCUUUUGCACUCCCAACUCCAGAAUAACCAGGGCUCUGUUGCCUGCUUCCUUCUGUCUUCAAAGUUAAAAUCCUGGCUUUGAGCCAUGCCCACAGGAGCCUGAUCUACGCCCUCCUGCUACGGAGAGUGUCCGGACUGCUCGUUAAGACAACACCCGUGAAUCCCAAGAUCACUUCCCUCCUGGAAUGAAGAAUUGCAGAGGCUCGUUAAACUUUUUUUUCUUGGCACGAAACCAUCUGGCAUCUACCCAAGGAAUUCUGGGGUCCUGCCGAAUCUAAGUUUAGAAACCACCAGAACAAGGUACUGCUUCAGGAUGGUAUCUGAAUCAAGUACAGCUAGUCUGUCUCCUUAAAGGCUUAAAGGGUCCAUUCUUCUCCCUUCCCAUAACCCCACCUUGCAGAAACCAGCUAUCUACCAGCAGAUAUUGAUGACAAAGUAUUGCUACACUAAGGCAGGGCGAUGUCAUGGGAAUCCAGACUCAUCACUAUCCAAGUACUUUGGGCUGCUUCCUCAAUGAGCCAAGACACACUGUUGGCCACUCCUGGGGAUGUCACAAACUGGUCACUGCUCAUACACAAGGAGCCUGGGACACUUGAAGCCUGUCAUCCAUUAUUAAACAAGUUGCCCAUCUGAAAACAGUUCCUAGCCUGGUUGGAAAAAAUGAGAAAAAUCGCCUUUCCUCCAAAGCUGCUUGCCAGUGGGAGCAUACUAUGAAAACCAGGGCUGGCUGGAUGAGCCUGAGAGUCGAAGCACUGGGGAACAGAUCUGAGAAGGACAAGCUUUAGCUAUCAACCAGAAGCAACAAACAACUCCCAGUGACUCCACGCAGCCACUGGAAACUGUCCAUGUGCCUGUCACAACUCAUCCCUUGUUGCAGAGGUGCCAGAGGCAAAGCUUCCGUGGUGGCCGGCAGGGCCCCUAUCAAUAUGCCAUGGUAGCCUCUGGACCCCAGCAGUCAGAGAACUAUAGCUCCUUUGGCGACAGCCAGACCCUGGAACCUCACAGAAGGCCGAACACCUGACACCCCAAAGCUACACAGUGAGACCAGCCGAACACUCAAUUCCCAGGGCCAAGGCGAUGAGUAAAUGGACCCUAACACCAAGAAGCUCCUACUGCACAGCAAGGAAACCACUCCAGUGGGUUAGUGGGCACGAAAGCCACACAUAAAGGUGUAGUUUAUGACAAGAUGUAAGUAUUAAUCCAAGUAACUGGAGGGAGAAAAAAG